Molecule: signal recognition particle RNA, 272 nt
Filed under: Penicilliopsis zonata CBS 506.65
Lineage: Eukaryota; Fungi; Ascomycota; Eurotiomycetes; Eurotiales; Aspergillaceae
Description: Fungal signal recognition particle RNA
Rfam family: Fungal signal recognition particle RNA
Source: Rfam by way of RNAcentral
AAUCUGUCACGGAUAACCUAGUGGAAGGCUAGUCGCUAGGCUGGUUCCCUUGCUUCGGUGCAAACCAGCAGGGACUGGUGCCUGGUUCGAAUCCUGGGGUCGUCGCUGUACUCGUGCGAGUAAUCCACGAUGCUACACGGCGCUAAGCAAUGAAAGUGACCCUUGAGGGAAGCAAUUCUGCAAAGACACUUUCACCCUGGGAUGGCGUUACCAGAAUACACCGCCCUGUUACAAGAGAGCUAGCCGUUUGGCUGGACAACCGUAUCUCUUUU